UAUUACAAAUUCAAUCUAUUUGUACUAUUAAAAACUGGCAGAAUACUCAAACAAUGGAAACAUGGCAUGCCAUGUGUACCUUAUAUUGAUAUAUAUAGACCAAUUUUUAAUAGUAAAAAGAAACGGAAUUUUUAACA
Molecule: non-coding RNA, 137 nt
Organism: Gossypium hirsutum (cotton)
Lineage: Eukaryota; Viridiplantae; Streptophyta; Magnoliopsida; Malvales; Malvaceae
Source: Rfam